This 415-nucleotide ribosomal RNA is filed under the name uncultured bacterium. Its description in RNAcentral is "bacterial SSU rRNA". It matches the Rfam family "Bacterial small subunit ribosomal RNA", at positions 32 to 442 of the family's 1533-position model. The record is from RNAcentral.
AAUCAACGCUGGCGGCGUGCCUAACACAUGCAAGUCGAACGAGAAAGUGGAGCAAUCCAUGAGUAAAGUGGCGACCGGGUGAGUAACACGUGACUAACCUACCUUCGAGUGGGGGAUAACCUCGGGAAACCGGGGCUAAUACCGCAUAACAUCUUUGAAGUGGAAAUUUCGGAGAUCAAAGGAGCAAUUCGCUGGAAGAGGGGGUCGCGGCUGAUUAGCUAGUUGGCGGGGUAACGGCCCACCAAGGCUAGAUCGGUAGCCGGCCUGAGAGGGCGCACGGCCACACUGGAACUGAAACACGGUCCAGACUCCUACGGGAGGCAGCAGUGGGGAAUUUUGCGCAAUGGGGGAAACCCUGACGCAGCAACGCCGCGUGGAGGAUGAAGUCCCUUGGGACGUAAACUCCUUUCGACCC